AUUUCUUCUAUUUCAUUUAUAUAUUUCUCUUCUGUGUACAAAAUAUUCUAUUAGUUCAUUCAUUAUGGAGGGAAGAGACUAAUUUUCUAACCAUUUCAAAAAAUCGUUCAUUUUUACUCAUCACAUUUAAAAUACUAGUUUGCUUCUAUUUUUUUUUUUGGUUGAUUAUUCAAAUUGACCCUAUAAUAUAUGCGAUGUUUGUAAAAUAAUCCUGUAAAAUACAAAACACAUAUUCUAUCCCUCUAAUUUGACGUUCUUCUUAUUUUUGACCCUAUAGUAUAUGCAUGCAUAGUCCACAAAAGUGACCUAGAGGUUGAACUUUGUCAUGAUCUUUUCCAAACAAGUUUAGGACGUUAAAAUAUAUCUAUACACCAAAAGAACAAAUAGAUUUUUCC
Molecule: long non-coding RNA, 395 nt
Filed under: Medicago truncatula (barrel medic)
Lineage: Eukaryota; Viridiplantae; Streptophyta; Magnoliopsida; Fabales; Fabaceae
Description: lncRNA gene22942
Source: RNAcentral